AUUCUCAACCUAACAAGHUCUUAACRGGGCUUGCUUAGGCUUGGACUUGGAGGCUUGUCGGCUCUUYAGCAGUCGGCUCCUCUCAAAUGCAUUAGCUUGGUUCCUUGCGGAUCGGCUCACGGUGUGAUAAUUAUCUGCGCCGCGACCGUUGAAGCGUUUAAUGGCCAGCUUCUAAUCGUCUCUUGCGAGACAGCAUUCAUCGAA
Molecule: unclassified non-coding RNA, 204 nt
Filed under: Polyporus arcularius
Lineage: Eukaryota; Fungi; Basidiomycota; Agaricomycetes; Polyporales; Polyporaceae
Description: ITS2
Source: RNAcentral